AAUUCUCAUUUUUAUUUGAUUGAAGUUAUAAAAAGAAAUUUCUAAAAGAAAAAAAUUGUGACUCGAUAAAAAGACAAAUGUUCUUCGUUGUGUCGUCUUACGUCUAUUUUUUCUAGUUCCUUUUUUUUUUCUUUUCUUUCUUCUUCUUUUUCCUUAUCACACGCGUGCAUAAGCACUCAAUUACACGCGCGCGUACUUUUAUCGCGUAAGCCAAGAAGAAAGAGGAAGGAAAAAAAGAAGAAAAAAAAGUAGACAACGCGAUCGGAGCGCCAUAGUAGCUCAUGAGCGAGCUUACUCAACGAAAACUAUAGGGAUAAGAUAAGGAAUCUCAUAAUUAUUAUAGUAAUGCCAUAUAUAUCGCGAAGUUGUAUUGCUGGUGAAUAAAGUUAUGAGGCCGUCGAAGAACCACCUACUCGACUGACUGACUGACUGACUUACUGACUCAGAUUUAUAAUUAGUUGUUAUUUACUCGUUAUAAUUUUCUAGUAUUGGAAGAAAAGGAAGAUACCUACGUUCGAAUAUUCUUUUCCGAUAACGAAAAGAUCGACCGUUCAACUCGAAGUUCGUUGUUCGUUAUGAAAAAUAAUUUCUUUUCCCUUUUUUCUUUUUUCCUUUUUUCUUUUUUAUUUUUCGCAAUUCUAAUUGAACUAAAAUAAUAAACGAGCCUUUUAUAAGAUCGAACAAUUGACCACUGUCGAGAAUCUCUUACUGUCACGAAUGAAUCCUGGUAAUGAUAUUCUCGAAAGGGAGAAAUCGAUUUUUGUCAUUACGAAUAAAAUACGAUUGUAGCUUAUGGGGAUCUUAUCAAUUUGCGCGGAAACCGUUGUUAAGGCAACCGUCAACUCGAUUGAGGUGCUCGUGGCCGCCAACGAAUGAAAACGAAUGAAAUUUUGUCGAGCUCGAAAAGAAAAAAGAACUCGUACGAGUUUCUUCGAGAGCUAUGCGUGUUACUUAUUCGUGCUUGGUUCGGUAGAAUGUCGUAGAGGAAUGAAAGAGAGAGAAAGAAGAAUCUUUUGAAUUCCGUGUUAACGAAAAAGGAGGAGCAACGUGGACGACAAUCCGUUCCUUCAAACCGGAUUUCGGGAUUACAAUCGACCGCCUGCUUCUUCGUCUUCUACUUCAUCGUCGUUUUCUUCUUCUGCGAAGCCCUUCGUUCGUUUUUAUAUAGUCGAGGGCGACGGAGAUCUCGCCUUUGGCUCGUCACAUUCGAACGGCUACGGGUAAACGCGACAAUGGGCAACAAAGGGAGGUAGGGAUCGAGUCUGAUCGUAAAGGUCCCUUAUUCGGAUCUCGAAUCACAGUCCAUUCGUCUCGGAUGUCUUGGAACCGUAUUUUCUUUUACGAAGAAAGAGGAAUGAUCAAUGGUUUACAAGGAUAUUUUCAAGGAUAUUCAUCGUUGAAAAAAGGUGUGAGAAGGAAGGCCGACAAUUCGCGAGGUUGAACAAGAUCCUUGGAUUAGAAUGAACCCCUUUUGCCGUUCCACGAACGGUCUGUUUAAUACUCUCUCGCCUGGCGCCUCGGCGAAGUUUAAAACGCGACAGGAGGACUGUUCAAGAAAAGGAGUCGGGCGUGAGGAGGGAAAAGAAGGGGGAACCAGAGGGCCCAAAAUCUCGAUCUGUUCGGCGCCCGCUACGAGGUGGACCGACGAAGGACGCAAAGGACGAAUCUACAAAAUAAAUUCUCAUCGAGCAAUGAGGUAUUAGGAUCUUUGAAAAGAUGUAUUAUAACAAAGGUCGAAAGAGAGUUGAAAAGUGACAAGAUCGAAGUCGAUGUUCUCGGAGAGGUCCAAACGCGUAUCGAGUGGCGGGAGGCUAGUAGACGGUCCUGGACCAGGCUUCGGUUCUUAUUCCGUGGUACGUGAGAGCAACAGAGAAAGAAGAAGGAGAAGAAGAAAGAAAAAAGAAAAAGGAAAAGAAAAAGAAAAAAAAUAAAAGGAAGGAAGAGAGUGAGAGGGUAAACGCGAGACUCAGCACAACAAAGAUCCAUCGGGACCGGUUUCGUGUUCUGCCCUUUUUUACAUUCCCCGAAGAGGCCCCGCCAGGCUGCGGGUGUGAAAACCGACACCCACCCACUUGUUAUUUUGUCAAACACGAGCUCUGAAAAUUAUAGGAAUCAUGCGGCACAUCGAGCCUAUCCUAUACGUCUAAUAUGGCCGUGCGCACGACAGAUUAUAUUCGAUCCGACUUUUACUCUCUUUGCCUUCGUGUGGCCGCUUCGUAUUUUAUAACCGUCAAUUAAACGCGAAACCGUAAAAUAACUGCUACUGCUAUUUAAACGCGGUUAAAGUUGACGCGAGCUAACAUAGCCAUUUUGUUUGUCACUUGAUUCUAUUAGUUUUUCGAUCCUUAAGCUAACGUAGGGGUUCUGAAAUCGAACGGACUCGGCACUGAGAUCGACGGAAUUGCGAAUUCCGAUGGCUUGCUGGUGGUUGCAAUAAUUUCGAGGCAAUUGAACCGAAACGAAACGCCGACUCAAGCGUACGAAAGCCGCGAGUACUCAACUCUGGGAUAGCUUCUCGCAGCUGCUGUGGCUAACCACAUUGAUUAUUAUUUCCGAUAGAUCGAGUCAAACACAAAAUUCUUUGCGACGAGUACUUUCAUUUUACUUUUGUUUGUUUCAUGUUGUUAUUGUUGUCAUUAUUGUUUUUUUUUGUCACGUUAAUUGAUCAUAUCGAUGUAAUUUUGUCUUUAUAAGUAUGUUAAAUAAAGUUAUCUUCAUUUUUUAUAUUUUCGUUAUUUUCUUUAUUUACAAGAAAACUACAUUAUUUCUUAAAUUUAUCCUUUUGCAAAUAAAAAUAUUAAUUGCACUGUAAAUUCAUCAUAUCGAUGUAAUUUUAUUUUUGCAA
This is a long non-coding RNA of Vespa velutina, 2845 nucleotides long. RefSeq lists it as uncharacterized. The record is from RefSeq and is a predicted model, not a curated record. Lineage: Eukaryota; Metazoa; Arthropoda; Insecta; Hymenoptera; Vespidae. The transcript has 3 exons.